Molecule: long non-coding RNA, 1495 nt
Filed under: Homo sapiens (human)
Lineage: Eukaryota; Metazoa; Chordata; Mammalia; Primates; Hominidae
Description: non-protein coding DAB1-AS1:48
Source: RNAcentral
GGUAAUCAGGAUGGCAGUGAGGCAGGCACUUGCUUGCAGAAGAACAGGCCUAGUUUUUUAAGAAGCCACAAAAGUGUCUUUGGAUGAUUAGGAUCUAAGGGGCCAACAGCUUUGCAAUAACAGCAUAAAUAUUGUGGGCUGGAUGGACAGGCACCAAAUGGGGACAUUCCAUCCUGCUGUGUGAUGAGAAAGCUGCCACUUUUGAGGCCUUCCAAAACAAAUCAACACUCCAUAUGCCAGAAGGAAAAGCCCAGGAAAGACCUAUUCCAACUGGAGAUGGAAUACGAAGGGAGAAUGAAACAAAACUGCUCCGCUUAGGGAACUUGGAAAGGAAAUUGAAAAGGCAAGGCACAGGCUGGAAGAAAAUAUUUGAAAAAGAUUUAUGUGAACUUCUUUCUGGAUUAUACAAAAUAUUUUUAGAUAUUCUUACAACUCUAAAAUAAGAUAACUCCUUAAAAAUCUAAAUUCUACCAAAGGAGAGAUAAAGAUGACGAAUACAUUCAAAGAUGCUGAAAAUCACUUAUUUAUUAUUAGGAAGUUACAAGCUAAAGCAUAAUGAGAUACCACUACAACCUACUAAACUGACUAAAAUUAAUCAGACUAACCAGGUGUUGGCAAGAAACAGGGACACUGAGACUCUCACACUGCUGGAAGGAAUGUAAAAUGCUAAAACUUCUUUGGAAAUGAGUUCAGUAACUUUUUAAACAGUUGAAAAUAGACCUAUCAUGCAAACCAGCAAUCCCACUUCCAGGUAUUUAUACAAGGAAAAUGACAACAUAUGCCCACAUAAAGACUUGUGCACAAAUGACCGUAGCAGCUUUGUGAUAAUUGCUAAAAACUAGAAACUUGUCAAGUGUCCAACAGUUGACAUGCAGGCUGGACAUACAGUGGGCCUCGAUUGCUUAGAAGCCAAACUGAACUCACCAAGAAAAGAAGACAGGAGAAACUUCUCAAGAGGAAUAUCUCCAAAUUGCAGGAUCGAAUACCAUAAGAGGAAUUCUGGACUGAAGAGUUAUGAAGUCAUUUCAGACACUUCCAGACAAUUUGUGUUAAUUAAAUUCUCACUGGUUGAGUUCCAUUCUACACUGGAAGAGCAUUUUUCCUGGAAAGGCUCCUCAAAAUGGACACCAUCAAGAGUCACCUCCUCAGUGAAGCCUUCCAUGGUUUCAUACCACCCAUCCCUAUCGGAAUGAAUGUAUCCUUGUUCUCCGUUAUCCCAGUAUUUUGCCUGGGCUUCUGUCACACUACUUUCAAUGUCUAUACCUCAGUUAUCGAAUCGAAAAACAAGAGUCAUCAGUCUCUAAGGUCCUUGCAAGCUUCAAAACUUUAUAUUUUUGUCAAUUACAACUGAAUAAAGCUGAACAACUUAUUAUUUAUGGAUACUUGCUCAAGCACCAUAUAACUCUUUCAGAUAUUUUAAAAGAAUAUGUUUGCAAAAGACUCCAAAUCAAUGUAUUAAAUUGAAAUCCAGUAUCAAAACACCCAUUAAAGUGCU